GGUUGAUCCUGCCAGUAGUUAUAUGCUUGUUUGAAAGAUUAAGCCAUGCAAGUCUAAGUAUAAGUAUUUAUACAGCGAAACUGCGAACAGCUCAUUAAAACACUGAUAAUAAUGACGAAUAUUAAAUAACGAUGGAUAUCCAUGGAAAACCUGAAGUUAAUACAUGCUUAUACGUUUACGUAUGUUGCAGUCUUUUAACACAAAAGCGUCGGGACUUCGGUCUUUCUGUUGAUUGUUAAGAUUGCUCUAUCGCAUCCGCGAUAAUUCGUGUCAGUUUGUGACCCAUCAGCUUU
This 293-nucleotide ribosomal RNA is filed under the name uncultured eukaryote. Its description in RNAcentral is "partial 18S ribosomal RNA". It matches the Rfam family "Eukaryotic small subunit ribosomal RNA", at positions 6 to 322 of the family's 1831-position model. The record is from RNAcentral.